GCUAUUUUGUAUUCACAUUAAAAAUGAAAAGUAUUGUUGCUGUAUAGAUUACAUUCAUUCUGCAUUGCAUAGAUGGGGGGACCAUGGCUUUGAAUGCCAUAUUGCACAGAUGAUGAUGUCACCUGUGCUAUUAUUUCUCAGAAUGAAUAGAGAAUAAAGCAUACAUCACCUAGAAGCAGUUCAGGGGACCCCAAUUUAGGGCAGAACUGAGACAUAAAUUUUUGACUGCUGUCUGAGAUUAAUGAGAGUUACGGUCUUUGGUAGUGGCUAUUUUAGGUUCCGUGAUUAAAAUGACAGCAGAUGCCACUAUGGAAUACAACUCCUACUAAUAUAGGGCAGCCCGGUACAUGUAUGUCUUGGAUCUACCUAAGAUUAGGGCCUCGAUGCAUUAGUUCCUAUGGUGAAUAAUUGCAUGCAUGAUGUCAAAAUCUGUGCAUGAUGGUGUUUGAAGAUUUGAUCUACC
Molecule: non-coding RNA, 463 nt
Organism: Pelobates cultripes (western spadefoot toad)
Lineage: Eukaryota; Metazoa; Chordata; Amphibia; Anura; Pelobatidae
Source: the annotation of a GenBank genome assembly